Molecule: ribosomal RNA, 484 nt
Filed under: uncultured bacterium
Lineage: Bacteria
Description: partial 16S ribosomal RNA
Rfam family: Bacterial small subunit ribosomal RNA
Source: RNAcentral
AUUGAACGCUGGCGGCAUGCCUUACACAUGCAAGUCGAACGGUAACAGGUCUUUCGGGAUGCUGACGAGUGGCGAACGGGUGAGUAAUACAUCGGAACGUACCUAGUAGUGGGGGAUAACUACUCGAAAGAGUGGCUAAUACCGCAUGAGAUCUAUGGAUGAAAGCAGGGGACCUUUGGGCCUUGUGCUACUAGAGCGGCCGAUGGCAGAUUAGGUAGUUGGUGGGAUAAAAGCUUACCAAGCCUACGAUCUGUAGCUGGUCUGAGAGGACGAUCAGCCACACUGGGACUGAGACACGGCCCAGACUCCUACGGGAGGCAGCAGUGGGGAAUUUUGGACAAUGGGCGCAAGCCUGAUCCAGCAAUGCCGCGUGCAGGAUGAAGGCCUUCGGGUUGUAAACUGCUUUUGUACGGAACGAAAAGUCUUGGGUUAAUACCCUGGGAUCAUGACGGUACCGUAAGAAUAAGCACCGGCUAACUACGUG